This 253-nucleotide ribosomal RNA is filed under the name uncultured bacterium. RNAcentral's name for it is "partial 16S ribosomal RNA". It matches the Rfam family "Bacterial small subunit ribosomal RNA", at positions 524 to 776 of the family's 1533-position model. The record is from RNAcentral.
GACGUAGGGCGCGAGCGUUGUCCGGAUUUAUUGGGCGUAAAGAGCUCGUAGGUGGUUUGUCGCGUUGUUCGUGAAAACUCACAGCUCAACUGUGGGCGUGCGGGCGAUACGGGCAGACUGGAGUACUGCAGGGGAGACUGGAAUUCCUGGUGUAGCGGUGGAAUGCGCAGAUAUCAGGAGGAACACCGGUGGCGAAGGCGGGUCUCUGGGCAGUAACUGACGCUGAGGAGCGAAAGCGUGGGGAGCGAACAGG